This 566-nucleotide ribosomal RNA is filed under the name uncultured bacterium. RNAcentral describes it as "partial 16S ribosomal RNA". It matches the Rfam family "Bacterial small subunit ribosomal RNA", at positions 355 to 912 of the family's 1533-position model. The record is from RNAcentral.
UGGGGAAUUUUGGACAAUGGGCGAAAGCCUGAUCCAGCAAUGCCGCGUGUGUGAAGAAGGCCUUCGGGUUGUAAAGCACUUUUGUCCGGAAAGAAAUCCUUGGCUCUAAUACAGUCGGGGGAUGACGGUACCGGAAGAAUAAGCACCGGCUAACUACGUGCCAGCAGCCGCGGUAAUACGUAGGGUGCAAGCGUUAAUCGGAAUUACUGGGCGUAAAGCGUGCGCAGGCGGUUUGCUAAGACCGAUGUGAAAUCCCCGGGCUCAACCUGGGAACUGCAUUGGUGACUGGCAGGCUAGAGUAUGGCAGAGGGGGGUAGAAUUCCACGUGUAGCAGUGAAAUGCGUAGAGAUGUGGAGGAAUACCGAUGGCGAAGGCAGCCCCCUGGGCCAAUACUGACGCUCAUGCACGAAAGCGUGGGGGAGCAAACAGGAUUAGAUACCCCUGGUAGUCCACGCCCUAAACGAUGUCAACUAGUUGUUGGGGAUUCAUUUCCUUAGUAACGUAGCUAACGCGUGAAGUUGACCGCCUGGGGAGUACGGUCGCAAGAUUAAAACUCAAAUGAAUUG